GAGCCAGGCUGGUUUUAGGUUCUCGCUGCUCUGGGAGAGUGGAGGUUCUUCAUGGAGAGAGCUGGGCCACAGUGUGUGAUGCUGACUUUAACCAGCAGGAUGCAGAGGUUGUGUGUCGAGAGCUGGGCUGUGGUUCUCCUGUGAAGGUUCUGGGAGCAGCUGCGUUUGGUAGAGGGGAGGGUCAGGUGUGGUCAGAGGUGUGUCAGUGUAGAGGAAACAAAUCUCACUCACUUCUGUCCAAAAUCAUCUUCACUCAAACACAACUGCUCCCAUGAUAAUGAUGUGGGACUGGUGUGUGCAGGUAAGAACUGCAUUCAGCACAAUGAGCCUGUGACUUCAUCUAUUCCUACUUAGACAGCCCUCUGUCUCAGUAGCUCAGCCCUGUGCUCCAUUACCUGUUUGCCAUUAAGACCUGGUGAAAUUAAAUAUUUGUGACUUAUUAUAUUGUUUGUUUGGGGUGAGGGUGUUAUGUUUGUGCAGCAUUACUGUUCUGGCAUUUGUUUUUUUAGUGGAUAAUAGUGUAAUAAAGUGUAGGGGAUCUGUGUUUGUCUAGAAUACCUUGCAGUGUGAAUUUAAAAACAUUAAAAACACAGCUAGCAGAAACUUCCUGGUGGAUAGCACUAAUUAUAAACACAAUAGACUUUGGACAAAUGUAAUGAGUUUCUCUAGUCUAACAGACACAAGAGACUGUUGUUUUGGAGAUAAUUUGUGGAUUUUUGGAGCUGCAGUAACACAUUACACAAAAUGGCUACAGCAACAUGUAUCCAUGUGAAUCACAUGUAAUAUUCUGGGUUGGAGUGGAACAGACUUAGAAUACUUGUACUGGCAGCACAUAGUUUAAAAGCAAGAAUGGUGAAUUAAGUAUGUGUCUACUGUUCUGUUCCUCCAGUCCAUUAAGCAGGUAACAAGACUGGUGGAGGUCAUAUAGUGUCUGGAAAAUAACUGCUCACAGGAUUGCCAACAAAUUAAAAGUCUAUGUGUAUCUUUUUUAUUUUUGUUAUUUUGAAACUGUAAAGGGAAAAAAUAUUAAAAAUGCUAAAUAGACGUGUCCACUUCAAUGUUAUGUGUUCUAAACAUUAGGUCAUUUUUAUUUCCUUCUGUAGUCACAAUAAUAUACAUUUUGAUUAGGGGUGUCCUAUGCUGGAGUUAUCUGUUCAGGUAAAACACUGUAAACAGGGACUGUACAUUAUCUGCCAUGUAGGCAAAGUGUACAGCACAUAUGAUUUUUCUUUUUAACCCACCCUAAAUCCUUGUUGAUUGCCAAGGUAAAUUGGUAUGUUUAAACUGAGCAAUCACCAAACUGUGCUGUACACUGGAAUUCUCAACCAACAAUUAAUUUACUGAUUUUUUUUUUUUUACUGAUUUCAUAAUUUUGCUGAUCCAUAUUAAUUUGUUUAAUGUAAUUCAUAGCUUUACUGAACUUAUUUUGAAUCCUUAUACUCUCUUUAGUUUUUUCCAAUGCAUUUAUGAAUCAUUCAUUGUGCAAUAUUUAGCAUCAUCAUGCUUAAUCAUUUAUCAUUACUGAUAAAUAAGCUUUCUUUUUUUCAUGGUAAUUUUUAGGUGUCCUGCUGGUUAAUGGCUCUCGCUGCUCUGGGAGAGUGGAGGUUCUUCAUGGUGAGAGCUGGUUCACAGUGUGUGAUGCUGACUUUAACCAGCUGGAUGCAGAGGUUGUGUGUCAGGAGCUGGGCUCAAACACAACUGCUCCCAUGAUAAUGAUGUGGGACUGGUGUGUGCAGACAGUGUGAGGUUGGCGGAUGGUGGCAGUCGCUGAGGAGAGCAGAGGUUUUUCACAGAGGACAGUGGGGAACAAUUUGUGGUGCUGGUGCAAAUUUCAUAGCGGUUUUGUCAUGUGUAAAGAGUUGGGCUGUGGAGAGCCGUUUAGGACUGAUGCAGCUGUUCCAGGAUCUGCACCGAUCUGGAUGAGUCAUGUGAAGUGUACUGGAUCAGAGUCUACACUGAAACACUGUGGAUCAUUAGGGUGGGGUGAACACAGCUGUAAUCAUAAUAUGGAUAUUGAGCUUACCUGUUCAGGUAUGUUUUAAUUAGACAAAAACUGUAAUACGUACGUAUUACAUGUAUUACAUUUGUGAACUUUCUGAGAAUGUUUCGACACAUCAUAGACAAAAUCAAAUCAGAGAUCAUAUGAUGGAAUGUCACUGUUUUGUAUACCUAUUCCGUAUUAAAUAUUCUAUUACAUAGUAAAUUCUGACAGUUACAGCUAAUGUGAGAAGCAGUGAUGUUUUUUUUUAACAUUUGCUUUGACUUUUAUUUAAUUGCUGAAAAUAUUAACCCAAGAUAUUGUCUAGUCAGUUUCAUUUUGUUUGAUAAAAUUUAAUUCAAUAAAAAAGGGUCUGCAGUACUGA
Molecule: long non-coding RNA, 2363 nt
Organism: Astyanax mexicanus (Mexican tetra)
Lineage: Eukaryota; Metazoa; Chordata; Actinopteri; Characiformes; Acestrorhamphidae
Exons: 2
Source: RefSeq, a predicted model, not a curated record